Pan troglodytes (chimpanzee) is the source of this 760-nucleotide long non-coding RNA. RefSeq lists it as uncharacterized. The transcript has 3 exons. The record is from RefSeq and is a predicted model, not a curated record. NCBI's taxonomy places the organism in Eukaryota, Metazoa, Chordata, Mammalia, Primates, Hominidae.
GGCAACAAGCUGAGUUCCUGGAAAACAACAAUCACAGAGAGACAGUCCACCACCUCUACCCUCUUAACUCUUCCUUAGAAACCCUACUGUCUGCAGCUGGGAAUGAAUGGAAUGAAGGUCAAGGAUGAAGUAAUAACCAAAUAUUGGGUUUUGGGUGCCCUGGUAACUGUCCGGUUUCCAGUUAGGGUUCCUGGGUGACAUCUUCCUUCUGGGGGAAGACAGAGUCAAAUGAGAAACGAUCUCACUCUGUUACCCAGGGUGGAGUGCAGGGGCAUGAACACGAAUCACUGCAGCUUCGACUUCCUGGCUCAAGCAAUCCUUCCACUUCCUGGCUCAAGCAAUCCUUCCACCUCAGCCUCCUAGGUACUGGGAUUACAGUAACUGCAUCCUGGGCAAUAUCCCCAGCUGAAAGAUUACGCUUCCCAGCCUUCCUUGCAGCUAGACGUAGCCAUAUGACAAAAUGAUGCCCAAUGAAGCAUACAUAGAAAAGUCAUGUGAGACUUCUGGAAAAGCUUCUGUAAAAGUGAGGAGCAGACACCCUUUUCUUUUUCUUCUCCUUUCUCUUGCUGUUGGCCUGGAAUGUGGACCUGAUGGAUGGAGCUCUGGCAAUCAUCUUGGAGUAUGAAGUGACCUUAAGGAUGAACAGAAAAGAAAAUGAGCCUGGGCCUUUAAUGACACAGUGGAGCUGCUCCCAGCUUGGCUACCUUCCUCUUAGUCUGCUUUUAUACAAAAAUAUAUAUAUAUCUUGUUUAAGCACAAA